RNAcentral lists this ribosomal RNA (254 nucleotides) under uncultured bacterium. RNAcentral describes it as "partial 16S ribosomal RNA". It matches the Rfam family "Bacterial small subunit ribosomal RNA", at positions 524 to 776 of the family's 1533-position model. The record is from RNAcentral.
UACGGGGGGGGGCAAGCGUUGUUCGGAAUUACUGGGCGUAAAGGGCUCGUAGGCGGCCAACUAAGUCAGACGUGAAAUCCCUCGGCUUAACCGGGGAACUGCGUCUGAUACUGGAUGGCUUGAGUUCGGGAGAGGGAUGCGGAAUUCCAGGUGUAGCGGUGAAAUGCGUAGAUAUCUGGAGGAACACCGGUGGCGAAGGCGGCAUCCUGGACCGACACUGACACUGAGGAGCGAAAGCCAGGGGAGCAAACGGG